RNAcentral lists this small nuclear RNA (24 nucleotides) under Arabidopsis thaliana (thale cress). RNAcentral's name for it is "snRNA_03083". The record is from RNAcentral. Lineage: Eukaryota; Viridiplantae; Streptophyta; Magnoliopsida; Brassicales; Brassicaceae.
AUAUAAUUUUUACUAGUGGAUUAC